GUCUUCAUGGUGCAACUGGACAGCACGUUCGAUUGUCAAGCGGAAGACCCAAAGUUCGAAUCCCGGUAAGGGCA
RNAcentral lists this transfer RNA (74 nucleotides) under Stegodyphus mimosarum. It matches the Rfam family "tRNA". From Rfam's summary of the family: Transfer RNA (tRNA) molecules are approximately 80 nucleotides in length. Their secondary structure includes four short double-helical elements and three loops (D, anti-codon, and T loops). The record is from Rfam by way of RNAcentral. Lineage: Eukaryota; Metazoa; Arthropoda; Arachnida; Araneae; Eresidae.